UUUAAAGUCCAUUCUGCCAAAUGAAUUUUUUUAACGGCUGCAGUAUAUAUAACUGUACUAAGGUAGCAUAAUAAUUUGCUUUUUUAAUUAAAAGCUAGAAUGAAAGAUUUAAUGAAAUAUAAACUCUCUCAAUUUAAAAAAUUUAAUUUAUUAUUUAAGUAAAAAAACUUAAAUUUUUUAAUUAGACGACAAGACCCUAUAGAAUUUUAUUUAAAAAUUUAUUUAUAAAUUUAAAUUAUUAUAUAUAAUUAAAUUUUUGAAUUUAAUUGGGGUAAUUUAAAAAUCAAAUAAACUUUUUAUUAAAAAACAUUAAUUAAUGAAUAAUUUAUCUUUAAAUUAAAAUUAAAAAAAUUAAUUAACUUAGGGAUAACAGCAUAA
Molecule: ribosomal RNA, 378 nt
Filed under: Tarasco sp. CNIN705
Lineage: Eukaryota; Metazoa; Arthropoda; Insecta; Hymenoptera; Braconidae
Description: partial 16S ribosomal RNA
Source: RNAcentral